CCUACGGGAGUCAGCAGUGGGGACUAUUGGGCAAUGGGCGAAAGCCUGACCCAGCAACGCCGCGUGAAGGAAGAAGGCUUUCGGGUUGUACACUUCUUUUGACAGGGAAGAGCAGAAGACGGUACCUGUCGAAUAAGCCACGGCUACCUACGUGCCAGCCGACGCGGUAAUCCGUAGGUGGCAAGCGUUGUCCGGAUUUACUGGGUGUAAAGGGCGUGUGGCCGGGCUGACAAGUCAGAUGUGAAAUCCGGGGGCUCACCCCCCGAACUGCAUUUGAAACUGUUGGUCUUGAGUAUCGUAGAGGCAGGCGGAAUUCCUAGGGGAGCUGUGA
This 331-nucleotide ribosomal RNA is filed under the name uncultured bacterium. RNAcentral's name for it is "partial 16S ribosomal RNA". It matches the Rfam family "Bacterial small subunit ribosomal RNA", at positions 338 to 684 of the family's 1533-position model. The record is from RNAcentral.